UACGUAGGGAGCAAGCGUUGUCCGGAAUCAUUGGGCGUAAAGCGCGCGUAGGUGGCCUCAUAAGUCCGCUGUGAAAGUCAAAGGCUCAACCUUUGAAAGCCGGUGGAUACUGUGUCGCUGGAGUACGGAAGAGGAAGGCGGAAUUCCCGGUGUAGCGGUGAAAUGCGUAGAUAUCGGGAGGAACAUCAGUGGCGAAGGCGGCCUUCUGGUCCAGUACUGACACUCAAGUGCGAAAGCGUGGGGAGCAAACAGG
This 253-nucleotide ribosomal RNA is filed under the name uncultured bacterium. RNAcentral's name for it is "partial 16S ribosomal RNA". It matches the Rfam family "Bacterial small subunit ribosomal RNA", at positions 524 to 776 of the family's 1533-position model. The record is from RNAcentral.